UGGUGGAAAGGUUAAAACUUGCUAUUUUCUGGCCAGGGGGAGAAAGAUACUGGCAGUAUGGGGCGUUAAAGUUUAUUGAAGAUUAAAUUCUGCAGAACAUGUAAAUAUAUAAAGUUCACAUAAAUUUCAGGGAAUGUAUACAUGUAGCUAUGUCAGUGCACAGAAUUCCUCAUUCCUUACUGGCUCACUUGACCGAGGUGCAGUUUUAUCAUGAAAAGGCACAGGUGAAUUUGUAGAAUACCUUCUGGAUAAGGAGGACUGGAGGUAAUAGCACAACCAUCAAGCUAUAUAUAAAGAUCUCUGUUGUCAAGGUUUGUAGAGACUUUAUACAAAUCUGGUGGGUAUAUGGGUGACACAUGGAUGGAGAGAAAAUUGGAAGGAAUAUUAUGUGACACAGGAAGUGAGGAAGUUGAGUGAGUGGUUGCUGUCUGCAUAAAUCAGCUCAUGAAAUGACUUGAGCAGAAGUAGUGCCAUUAUAUUGCCUCAUAUGGUAUACAUGUGGAUAGUGUGUGAAAGGUCCAAGAGGAGGAAUAUAUGACUGGUAUACCAGUCAUAUAUGCAAGAUACUAUGUGCCUACUGGGUAUACAAGAUACUAUGUGCCUACUGGGAGCUGGGAAAGAACAACCCUGGCAAGCAGACAAGCAGACCGGCUGGGAGCCCACACCAACCAGUCGUCGAGGUGACUGGUCUUUCCCACCUUUUCAUAUCAUUUUUGCAUAUAUUUCCCACCUGCUUCUUAUUUGUUUAUACAUACACUAUGCUUCAAUAGCUGCAAAUAAACUUAUGGCAGGCCUAAA
This is a non-coding RNA of Procambarus clarkii (red swamp crayfish), 798 nucleotides long. NCBI's taxonomy places the organism in Eukaryota, Metazoa, Arthropoda, Malacostraca, Decapoda, Cambaridae. The record is from RefSeq and is a predicted model, not a curated record.